This 293-nucleotide ribosomal RNA is filed under the name uncultured Alcanivorax sp. RNAcentral's name for it is "partial 16S ribosomal RNA". It matches the Rfam family "Bacterial small subunit ribosomal RNA", at positions 505 to 797 of the family's 1533-position model. The record is from RNAcentral. Lineage: Bacteria; Pseudomonadati; Pseudomonadota; Gammaproteobacteria; Oceanospirillales; Alcanivoracaceae.
GUGCCUGCAGCCGCGGUAAUACGAAAGGUGCGAGCGUUAAUCGGAAUUACUGGGCGUAAAGCGCGCGUAGGCGGUUAGUUAAGUCGGAUGUGAAAGCCCAGGGCUCAACCUUGGAACUGCAUCCGAUACUGGCUAGCUAGAGUGCAGUAGAGGGAGGUGGAAUUUCCGGUGUAGCGGUGAAAUGCGUAGAGAUCGGAAGGAACACCAGUGGCGAAGGCGGCCUCCUGGACUGACACUGACGCUGAGGUGCGAAAGCGUGGGUAGCGAACAGGAUUAGAUACCCCCGUAGUCCC